AUCUCUUAUUCCUACUUCUUUAGGGAACCUUGGAUAGCUGAUCGGUUGAUCUGCACUUACGUCCAUCUAAUGUUUAAGAGACAAUUUCAAGUGUUCAUCUAAUUACAGAUUUCUAAAUUGGCACGGCAGACUUUAUGAGAAGUCAUGUCCUUUCAAAAAAAAAGGACAACGACUAUACAGACAACAAGCUUCCUUGUUUGCUUACCGUUGGCUGCUACCCUUGAAUCUCCCUUUUUACUUCCUUACAAGGGCCCUCUUCAUUUGAGGGUAAUCCUACUAGUAAUCCUUUGAUACUUGUCAUGGACUUUAUCCACUGGUGAAAAUCAACAAUAGAAUGCUGUAACUCAAGACUUAUAAAUUGUAUAGUUAGCUAAAUUACAAGUGCAUAUUUGGGCUCCCUUCUUUUCUGUGGCCCUGUUUCCCUAACUGACCACUAACCAACGCCCGCCGCUGGUCACUCACCCGCUUCGAAACCAGGAGG
This is a long non-coding RNA of Daphnia pulicaria, 481 nucleotides long. RefSeq lists it as uncharacterized. The record is from RefSeq and is a predicted model, not a curated record. NCBI's taxonomy places the organism in Eukaryota, Metazoa, Arthropoda, Branchiopoda, Diplostraca, Daphniidae. The transcript has 3 exons.